Molecule: non-coding RNA, 23 nt
Filed under: Arabidopsis thaliana (thale cress)
Lineage: Eukaryota; Viridiplantae; Streptophyta; Magnoliopsida; Brassicales; Brassicaceae
Source: RNAcentral
UCCCAGAUGUGUGCUUUGUCGCC